This 274-nucleotide ribosomal RNA is filed under the name uncultured Desulfobulbus sp. RNAcentral's name for it is "partial 16S ribosomal RNA". It matches the Rfam family "Bacterial small subunit ribosomal RNA", at positions 1107 to 1382 of the family's 1533-position model. Lineage: Bacteria; Pseudomonadati; Thermodesulfobacteriota; Desulfobulbia; Desulfobulbales; Desulfobulbaceae. The record is from RNAcentral.
GCCUUAGUUGCCAGCAGUUCGGCUGGCACUCUAAAGGGACUGCCGGUGUUAAACCGGAGGAAGGUGGGGAUGACGUCAAGUCCUCAUGGCCUUUAUGACCAGGGCUACACACGUACUACAAUGGCCGAUACAAAGGGCAGCGACACUGCGAGGUGAAGCCAAUCCCGUAAAAUCGGUCUCAGUCCGGAUUGGAGUCUGCAACUCGACUCCAUGAAGUUGGAAUCGCUAGUAAUCGCGCAUCAGCCAUGGCGCGGUGAGUACGUUCCCGGGCCUU